Molecule: ribosomal RNA, 1204 nt
Filed under: uncultured Chitinivibrionia bacterium
Lineage: Bacteria; Pseudomonadati; Fibrobacterota; Chitinivibrionia
Description: bacterial SSU rRNA
Rfam family: Bacterial small subunit ribosomal RNA
Source: RNAcentral
UGCUUAAUACAUGCAAGUCGAGCGAGAACGUACCCUUCGGGGUGCUAGUAGAGCGGCGAACGGGUGAGUAACACGUAAGCAACCUGCCUCUAAAUUCGGAAUAACCUUGCUAACGCGGGGCUAAUACCGGAUGUGAUCCAUUUUCCGCAUGGUUUUUGGAUUAAAGGUGACCUCUCCUUGGAAGUUACUGUUUAGAGAUGGGCUUGCGGACCAUUAGCUUGUUGGUGGGGUAACGGCCUACCAAGGCUACGAUGGUUAGCCGACCUGAGAGGGUGAUCGGCCACAUUGGGACUGAGAUACGGCCCAGACUCCUACGGGAGGCAGCAGUAGGGAAUUUUGCGCAAUGGACGAAAGUCUGACGCAGCAACUCCGCGUGAGGGAUGAAUGCCUUCGGGUUGUAAACCUCUGUUGAGUGGGAAGAAAAAGCUUUUUGCUAAUAUCAAAAAGCCAUGACGGUACCAUUCAAGAAAGCUCCGGCUAACUACGUGCCAGCAGCCGCGGUAAUACGUAGGGAGCAAGCGUUGUUCGGAAUCACUGGGCGUAAAGGGAGCGUAGGCGGGAAAGUAAGUUAGAAGUGAAAUGUAUCGGCUCAACCGGUAACCUGCUUUUAAUACUGCUUUUCUUGAGUAUGGGAGAGGAAGAUGGAAUUCCAGGUGUAGCGGUGGAAUGCGUAGAUAUCUGGAAGAACACCAAUUGCGAAGGCGGUCUUCUGGCCCAAUACUGACGCUGAGGCUCGAAAGCUAGGGGAGCGAACAGGAUUAGAUACCCUGGUAGUCCUAGCCGUAAACGAUGGACACUAGAUGUUGGAAGCAAAUUAUUGUUUUCAGUGUCGUAGCUAACGCAUUAAGUGUCCCGCCUGGGGAGUACGCUCGCAAGAGUGAAACUCAAAGGAAUUGACGGGGGCCCGCACAAGCGGUGGAGCAUGUGCUUUAAUUCGAUGCAACGCGAAGAACCUUACCUGGUCUUGACAUGGGAGUGAAAGUCACUAGAGAUAGAGACCUUUCCUUAGGGAACACUCCACACAGGUGCUGCAUGGUUGUCGUCAGCUCGUGUCGUGAGAUGUUGGGUUAAGUCCCGUAACGAGCGCAACCCCUAUCCUUAGUUGCCAUCAGGUUAUGCUGGGAACUCUAGGGAGACUGCCUGGAUUAACCAGGAGGAAGGUGGGGAUGACGUCAAAUCCUCAUGGCCCUUACGACCAGGGCUA